ACGGGUGAGUAACACGUAGGAACCUGACUUUAAGAGGGGGACAACCAAGGGAAACUUUGGCUAAUACCGCGUAAUUUCGAGAGAGUAAAGCUGCCGCAAGGUGGCGCUUAAAGAGGGGCCUGCGCCCGAUUAGCUAGUUGGUGAGGUAAUAGCUCACCAAGGCGAUGAUCGGUAACUGGUCUGAGAGGACGACCAGUCACACUGGGACUGAGACACGGCCCAGACUCCUACGGGAGGCAGCAGUGGGGAAUAUUGGACAAUGGGGGCAACCCUGAUCCAGCGAUGCCGCGUGAGUGAAGAAGGCCCUCGGGUCGUAAAGCUCUUUAGGUUGGGAAGAAGUGUAGUAGAGGAUAAUGCUAUUACAUUGACGGUACCGACAGAAUAAGCACCGGCAAACUCUGUGCCAGCAGCCGCGGUAAUACAGAGGGUGCAAGCGUUAAUCGGAGUUACUGGGCGUAAAGGGCGCGUAGGCGGUUUGAUGAGUGUGAUGUGAAAGCCCCGGGCUUAACCUAGGAAGCGCAUCGCAAACGAUUGAACUGGAGUAUAUGAGAGGGUGGCGGAAUUUCCGGUGUAGCGG
This 577-nucleotide ribosomal RNA is filed under the name uncultured bacterium. RNAcentral describes it as "bacterial SSU rRNA". It matches the Rfam family "Bacterial small subunit ribosomal RNA", at positions 102 to 681 of the family's 1533-position model. The record is from RNAcentral.